Molecule: ribosomal RNA, 463 nt
Filed under: Vreelandella stevensii
Lineage: Bacteria; Pseudomonadati; Pseudomonadota; Gammaproteobacteria; Oceanospirillales; Halomonadaceae
Description: partial 16S ribosomal RNA
Rfam family: Bacterial small subunit ribosomal RNA
Source: RNAcentral
CCUCGGGCGGCAGCAGUGGGGAAUAUUGGACAAUGGGCGAAAGCCUGAUCCAGCCAUGCCGCGUGUGUGAAGAAGGCCUUCGGGUUGUAAAGCACUUUCAGUGGGGAAGAAAGCCUUGGGGCUAAUACCCUCGAGGAAGGACAUCACCCACAGAAGAAGCACCGGCUAACUCCGUGCCAGCAGCCGCGGUAAUACGGAGGGUGCGAGCGUUAAUCGGAAUUACUGGGCGUAAAGCGCGCGUAGGCGGUCUGAUAAGCCGGUUGUGAAAGCCCCGGGCUCAACCUGGGAACGGCAUCCGGAACUGUCAGGCUAGAGUGCAGGAGAGGAAGGUAGAAUUCCCGGUGUAGCGGUGAAAUGCGUAGAGAUCGGGAGGAAUACCAGUGGCGAAGGCGGCCUUCUGGACUGACACUGACGCUGAGGUGCGAAAGCGUGGGUAGCAAACAGGAUUAGAUACCCGGUAGUC